GUGCAAUGAUGUAUGUCAACACAUCAUUCUGAAAAAAUAUAUAGUGGUGACUUUCUGUUAACUGAGCACA
Echinops telfairi (small Madagascar hedgehog) is the source of this 70-nucleotide small nucleolar RNA. Its record names the gene SNORD63. It matches the Rfam family "Small nucleolar RNA SNORD63". Rfam says of the family: snoRNA U63 is found in both humans and mice. U63 is a member of the C/D class of snoRNA which contain C (UGAUGA) and D (CUGA) box motifs. The record is from Ensembl. Lineage: Eukaryota; Metazoa; Chordata; Mammalia; Afrosoricida; Tenrecidae.